RNAcentral lists this ribosomal RNA (486 nucleotides) under uncultured bacterium. Its description in RNAcentral is "partial 16S ribosomal RNA". It matches the Rfam family "Bacterial small subunit ribosomal RNA", at positions 30 to 507 of the family's 1533-position model. The record is from RNAcentral.
AUUGACCGCUUUCUUCCUUCCUUACACAUGCAAGUCGAACGGCAGCACGGGUGCUUGCACCUGGUGGCGAGUGGCGAACGGGUGAGUAAUACAUCGGAACAUGUCCUGUAGUGGGGGAUAGCCCGGCGAAAGCCGGAUUAAUACCGCAUACGAUCUACGGAUGAAAGCGGGGGACCUUCGGGCCUCGCGCUAUAGGGUUGGCCGAUGGCUGAUUAGCUAGUUGGUGGGGUAAAGGCCUACCAAGGCGACGAUCAGUAGCUGGUCUGAGAGGACGACCAGCCACACUGGGACUGAGACACGGCCCAGACUCCUACGGGAGGCAGCAGUGGGGAAUUUUGGACAAUGGGCGAAAGCCUGAUCCAGCAAUGCCGCGUGUGUGAAGAAGGCCUUCGGGUUGUAAAGCACUUUUGUCCGGAAAGAAAUCCUUGGCCCUAAUACGGUCGGGGGAUGACGGUACCGGAAGAAUAAGCACCGGCUAACUACGUG